GCCGAGGUAGCUCAGCUUGGUUAGAGCGCCGGACUCAUAAUCCGGAGAUCGCGUGUUCGAAUCGCGCCCUCGGCACCA
This 78-nucleotide transfer RNA is filed under the name Promethearchaeati archaeon SRVP18_Atabeyarchaeia-1. Its description in RNAcentral is "tRNA-Met". It matches the Rfam family "tRNA". From Rfam's summary of the family: Transfer RNA (tRNA) molecules are approximately 80 nucleotides in length. The record is from RNAcentral. Lineage: Archaea; Promethearchaeati.